GCUGGGUGUGGUGGCGCACACCUGUAAUCCCAGCUACUCGGGGGGCUGAGGCAGGAGAAUCACUUGAACCCAGGAGGCAGAGGUUGCAGUGAGCCAAGAUCGCACCACUGUACUCUAGCCUGGGCAACAGAGUGAGAUUCCGUCUCAA
Non-coding RNA from Homo sapiens (human), 148 nucleotides. It matches the Rfam family "Metazoan signal recognition particle RNA". From Rfam's summary of the family: The signal recognition particle (SRP) is a universally conserved ribonucleoprotein. It is involved in the co-translational targeting of proteins to membranes. The eukaryotic SRP consists of a 300-nucleotide 7S RNA and six proteins: SRPs 72, 68, 54, 19, 14, and 9. The record is from Rfam. NCBI's taxonomy places the organism in Eukaryota, Metazoa, Chordata, Mammalia, Primates, Hominidae.